AUACGAAGGGAGCUAGCGUUGUUCGGAAUUACUGGGCGUAAAGCGCACGUAGGUGGAUCAAUCAGUUGAGGGUGAAAUCCCGGGGCUCAACCUCGGAACUGCCUUCAAUACUGUUGAUCUUGAGUCCGUGAGAGGUGAGUGGAAUUCCUAGUGUAGAGGUGAAAUUCGUAGAUAUUAGGAAGAACACCAGUGGCGAAGGCGGCUCACUGGCUCGGUACUGACGCUGAGGUGCGAAAGCGUGGGGAGCAAACAGGAUUAGAAACCCCGGUAGUCC
Molecule: ribosomal RNA, 274 nt
Filed under: uncultured bacterium
Lineage: Bacteria
Description: partial 16S ribosomal RNA
Rfam family: Bacterial small subunit ribosomal RNA
Source: RNAcentral